ACAACAUUUCAUUUCCAGGAUUGUUCAGGUGUCACCGGAAAUUCCGCCGGGUGUCACUCUUUUUAGGCCAGAUUUCCGUCACCUUCCACUUUCUUUGUGUUGGCGUUCUAAACUCCGGUAGAUUUACAGUAUGAG
Long non-coding RNA from Sander lucioperca (pikeperch), 135 nucleotides. RefSeq lists it as uncharacterized. NCBI's taxonomy places the organism in Eukaryota, Metazoa, Chordata, Actinopteri, Perciformes, Percidae. The transcript is spliced from 4 exons. The record is from RefSeq and is a predicted model, not a curated record.